RNAcentral lists this transfer RNA (70 nucleotides) under Dipodomys ordii (Ord's kangaroo rat). It matches the Rfam family "tRNA". Rfam says of the family: Transfer RNA (tRNA) molecules are approximately 80 nucleotides in length. The record is from Rfam by way of RNAcentral. Lineage: Eukaryota; Metazoa; Chordata; Mammalia; Rodentia; Heteromyidae.
GGCAAUGUGGCUUAGUGGUAGAGUGCUUGCCUAGCAUGCAUGAAGCCCUGGGUUCAAUUCCUCAGUACCA